RNAcentral lists this long non-coding RNA (1553 nucleotides) under Salmo salar (Atlantic salmon). Its description in RNAcentral is "lncRNA (ENSSSAG00000098894.1)". The record is from RNAcentral. Lineage: Eukaryota; Metazoa; Chordata; Actinopteri; Salmoniformes; Salmonidae.
ACGCCACCUGCUGGAGAAGACAGAUUUUGGGCCCAUUUAUCCCUUUUCAACACAGUAUUUGUGUGCACCGACAGCAAGUCGGGCAAGUUCUGCUGUUUCUAGGAAAUGCGCCUCCAGCUAGAUUUUUUUUAACAUUGGCUACUUAACCAGACGGCCUGACGUCACCACUACUCACCAAAUCUUUCCCCCAGUGGACCCAUGUUCUGAACAUGGCUGACCACUUAUCAACACCUGCCCCAAACUUUGGGCAACAGGCGAUGGGGAGACACAUUAUGGGCAAGCUCCUGUACAGAUUGCAGCGGGCCAUGCAACGCCUUCCCCUGGAUCUUGAUUACUUACAGUUCGUGUGCACCAUUGAGAUGAUAUUUAUCAGCUCACUAGCAAAUCAAGUAGACUUGCCUCAAGAGGUGUUCAGGGUCUCUCCAAUCUGUAUAGUCUAGUCAAUAUUGAAAUGGAAGAAGGAAAUGCCCCAUGUUGAUGAGUUGGAUGGCGAAAUGGGACGUCUUAAACUGACUGUUUCGGAACAGCACCUUCGACAGCUGAUUGAAAUGGAUCUGCCUCUACCUUGCAUCGCCAAACUGCUUGUCAUCUCAACACAAACUGACCAACACAGAAUGCAGGAAUACAGUAUCGUGGUGAGCGGAACAUACAGCCAAAUGAUAGACGAGGAGCUGGACAAUCUGGUGGCCACAAUCAAGACAAGUUCACCACAAUUAGGAUGGUGAGAGAACGUCUGAAAGCACUGGGUCAUCGAGUCCAGUGGACCCGAGUGUGGGACUCAGUGCUUCUUGUAGAUGCUGCAGGAAUACAUGAAAGAAUGGCAGGACUUGGAUGUGUUGUCAGAAGAACAUACUCUGUUCAGGGUCCUCUUUCCCUCAUACAUGUGGACACCAACCACAAGAUGAUCAGGUUUGAACAGUUAUGGCGGGACUUGUGGAUGGCCAUGUCAAACAUCUUUGACAGGUUAAGGGAGCCCUCAUCUUCCAAACUGUGUAGGACAUUGUAAAGCAGCCUUCACUUAUUCUGUGUGCACUAUGUAUUCCUCCCAUACCUCCAAGCAGACCUAGACACCUUAACCAAUGGAUGGGAUAAACAUUCUCUGCACACCGAGCAAAAUCUGACCCCCUACCAGCUAUGGGAAAUGGGACAAGCAGAGAAUCCUGUCACCUUCCCUGGCAAUGUGGAAGUAAAGAUUUAAAGGAGCCACUAUGAAAAUGUAAUUAAGUCUUAUCUAAACAUUUUUUUGGGUUGUUUGUAAAUGAACAUGAUCUUCCAUGUUCAGGAUUUAAACAACUUGGUUGGGGACGAUGCCUGCCUGUGGGAGGAGCAUGGCCAGGGAAUUUUGGUCCCACCAGUGGAGUGCCCACUGACAGAGCAGGAUAUGACACUGCUCUGAUGGAGCCAUGACCCAAACUCACCAUCAAGACUAUGGACAAGAUAUUUACGCAUCUGUUUUGAACUAUGUGCUGCUACUUAUGGCUGAAUGAUCCUUAUACCUCUGCUGAUACUGUCUCAAGGAAUAGUAACAGUCUAGUCCAGUAAUUCUAAAAGGC